This 280-nucleotide small RNA is filed under the name Drosophila yakuba. RNAcentral describes it as "GE27835". The record is from RNAcentral. Lineage: Eukaryota; Metazoa; Arthropoda; Insecta; Diptera; Drosophilidae.
GAGUAUUUUAAAUAUGGAACCAUGUCUAUAGAUGGAAGGGUGUGCAGAAGCCAAGGUGCAGCAGCGAUAUCUUUCUUGCCACUUAGCUGCGUGAUCAGCAUCAACGUCGCCAUCAGCACAACAUCAAGCAUCGACAUUAAUUUCGGAUGUUUAGGUUUCGUUUUGGAACACUGCGCAAAUUUGGUCAAAUCUGGCCGAAAACCGUGGCUUGAGGUUGUUGAUUGAUGAAUCGUGCACUAAAAAUUAUCAUGUUCUAAAACAUCAUGAAAAGCAAAUACUC